AAAGUGGCGGGGUGCUAAUACAUGCAAGUCGAGCGGAUUGAUGGGAGCUUGCUCCCUGAUAUCAGCGGCGGACGGGUGAGUAACACGUGGGUAACCUGCCUGUAAGACUGGGAUAACUCCGGGAAACCGGGGCUAAUACCGGAUAACUCAUUUCCUCGCAUGAGGAAAUGUUGAAAGAUGGCUUCUUGCUAUCACUUACAGAUGGACCCGCGGCGCAUUACCUAGUUGGUGAGGUAACGGCUCACCAAGGCAACGAUGCGUAGCCAACCUGAAAGGGUGAUCGGCCACACUGGGACUGAAACACGGCCCAAACUCCUACGGGAGGCAGCAGUAGGGAAUCUUCCGCAAUGGACAAAAGUCUGACGGAGCAACGCCGCGUGAGUGAUGAAGGUUUUCGGAUCGUAAAGCUCUGUUGUUAGGGAAAAACAAGUGCCGUUCGAAUAGGGCGGCACCUUGACGGUACCUAACCAGAAAGCCACGGCUAACUACGUGCCACCAGCCGCGGUAAUACGUAGGUGGCAAGCGUUGUCCGGAAUUAUUGGGCGUAAAGCGCGCGCAGGUGGUUUCUUAAGUCUGAUGUGAAAGCCCACGGCUCAACCGUGGAGGGUCAUUGGAAACUGGGGAACUUGAGUGCAGAAGAGGAAAGUGGAAUUCCAAGUGUAGCGGUGAAAUGCGUAGAUAUUUGGAGGAACACCAGUGGCGAAGGCGACUUUCUGGUCUGUAACUGACACUGAGGCGCGAAAGCGUGGGGGAGCAAACAGGAUUAGAUACCCUGGUAGUCCACGCCGUAAACGAUGAAGUGCUAAGUGUUAGGGGGUUUCCGCCCCUUAGUGCUGCAGCUAACGCAUUAAGCACUCCGCCUGGGGGAGUACGGUCGCAAGACUGAAACUUCAAAGGAAUUGACGGGGGCCCGCACAGCGGUGGAGCAUGUGUUUAAUUUCGAAGCAACGCGAAGACUUUACAGGUCUGGACAUCCUCUGACAACCUAGAAGAUAGGCUUUCCCUUCGGGGACAGAGUGAACAGGUGAUGCAUGAUGGUCGUCAGCUCGUGUCUGAAUGGUGGGUAAGUUCCCGCACGGAGCCACAUGGAAUCUAGUGGCAGCAUCAGUGCACCUCUAAGAUGAC
RNAcentral lists this ribosomal RNA (1125 nucleotides) under Rossellomorea vietnamensis. RNAcentral describes it as "bacterial SSU rRNA". It matches the Rfam family "Bacterial small subunit ribosomal RNA", at positions 32 to 1149 of the family's 1533-position model. Lineage: Bacteria; Bacillati; Bacillota; Bacilli; Caryophanales; Bacillaceae. The record is from RNAcentral.